UUAAAUGAACCAUCCCAAUCCGUUGAUGAGGAAACCUUUUUAGAAAAUCAAGACCCAUUCUCUGCGACUGGGGCAUCCACGAUUUGACAGCUGCAGGGGCUUCUCGUCUCUCUAUUCAACAUUGUAAUUUUAGAUAAUAUCCCAAGCGUUCACUCUCCUCGGCAAUUUGUACAUGAAUAACCGAAUAAUUUCAUCUUUUGUUUCGUCUUUGCCACUUCAAAUCCAAAUAAAGAUGCCUUUUAGUAUUAAAAGUGGUAGAAAAUUACAGGUAAUUAUCUUUGACGGUAAAAACGCUGUAAUCAGCGGGCUACAUCAAAAAUUACCCUAAUUAUGUCUGCAUUUAUGAGAAUGGAAAAAAAACCCUCUCUUGGAUAAAACCCAUAAAUUGUCCCAAAUAUCUCCUUCAUAUUGAACGAGACUGCAGCUGGAUGCUUUGUUCAGAAUCGAUCCUGUGGCGAAAGGCAUUCAGCGUCUCGCAGAUCAAGGCAGAGAGAAAGGGGAAAAACAUUUUGUCAAUACCUUAAUAAUUGAGCUAGAGAAUGACAAGAUGGACAAGAUGCGGCUCUAUUCUGUAGGAAAAACACUUUGAGAAACCACCAUCUCGGGAAAUUCAGCGGCGACUACCCAGGUGAUCCUGCCUUCUACAUGCGUCAGGAGUUGUUUUGUUAAUCGAAAUAAAGGGUGGAUUGCGUGAUCCAAGGCACGGAGCGGCUCGCUGUUUCCUCUCAUUACAAGACGGCCUUACCAGCGAGGAGGAAUAUGCAUGAAUACAUUAAAAGGUAAUGAGGAAGCUGCCAGGAGAGGGUCGUUCAGGGCAGAGCUUGGCGUUGGAGAGCUUUCAGAGCGUUACGUGAUGGACUUGUCAUCUCAGCACGAGAAGCAAAAAGAGGUGGAGUUUAACGGCAUUACUAAUGGCAACUGUUGCCAGGUCUUCCUUGAUGCUGCUUAUGUUGGUGCAGAAGCCUCUCAAUUGGUAUUGAAUGUCCCAACCCUCUACAAUGCGAGUAAAUCAGUCGCAUAUGCGACCAAAUUUCACGAGAGGCGACUUUAAAGCCCACCCUGUGGUGAAAAUCAAGUUUUUAAUGUUGUUUAUAUGUCUAUGUGGUGUUUUUAAAAUGCUUUAAAGGAUUAGUUCACUUCAGAAUUCAAAUUUCCUGAUAAUUUACUCACCCCCAUGUCCCCCAUGUCAUCCUCUACACCAUCCCAGUUUCAGUGGAUAAGACCCUUUUUCCUCGUCUGGCAUCGUGUAGAGCCCUUUGAAGCUGCACUGAAAUUACAAUUUGGACCUUCAACCUGUUGGUAACCAUUGAAGUCCACUUUAUGGAGAAAAAUCCUGGAAUGUUUUCCUCAAAAACCUUAAUUUCAUUUUGGCUUAAGAAAGAAAGACAUAAACAUCUUGGAUGACAAGGGGGUGAGUAAAUUAUCAGGACAUUUUAAUUCUGAAGUGAACUAAUCCUUUAAGACAAACCAUGUGCAAACCAAUUCAUAAGUCAACACCAUUGCUGAGUAUUUUCUCCUUAAAACUAAUCAUAUUAAUUAGCGUUAUGUGUCUGAAGAUGUAAAAAGCAAUGCCAUUGUGCAGCGUUUACUUACAGUAAAGUUGACAGAGUGGAUCUCUGAGCUGGUAUGAGAGGAGGCGGGGCUAAUUUGCAUAUUCACGAUUUCAAAAUGCCCAGGUAUCCUAAUAAACAUGGUCGGUAUAUCUCUCAACGUAAAGAGUUGAGAAAGUAAACGUGUGUAUAUCAGUAUAUUGGAUCUGCGCAUUAGUCUUAAAGUGACAGCAGCCUAAUAUUCCUGCUGCUGUCUGUUUUUAAUGUUAAUCAAACAACAGACUCACUGCAUUAAAAAAAAAAAAAAAUCACUCAAUGCUCUUGACUGAAUAAGGUUUGUAACUUUAAUAUUCUAUAUUUAAUUUAUACAGUGCAGAAUAUGCAGUGCUUUUGAUUACUGUACCUACUCUACAUCUAACUACUGUUAGAUCUACAUGAAAAGCACUGUUUAUUUCAUUUAAAUCUGUUUUCUUUUGUGUUUAUUUGUGCUAUUGUUUGAUUAUUUGACCUUAUUUUAUUACAGACUGUUUAGUUGACUUUAAUACUGUUUGAAAUUUAUAUUUAUGUAGAAUUUUUUCAUUUGCAUUGUUCUUGUAUUCCAUGUAAAAAGUCUGGCGAAUAAUACUAGCCAAUGGUGACUCGAGUUUGCCCGGUUUAACAGACAAAGCCUAGUCCCAGACUAAAAUGCAUGUUUGAGCCUUUUUAACUGAAAGUAUCAUAUCUUAAAAUAUGUCAGAGCCAUUGUUUUGUCUCAAGAUGCACAUCAGUAAUGUUUAUAAAAGCUACUUAAACGUCCUAAUUGAACUAAGGCCUAAUCCUGGCUUAAUCUAAGCCCUGUUUGUGAAACCAUAAUAUUUUGUAUUUUAACUGCUAAAUUAAAAUUAACAAUAUGAAA
Long non-coding RNA from Ctenopharyngodon idella (grass carp), 2445 nucleotides. RefSeq lists it as uncharacterized. NCBI's taxonomy places the organism in Eukaryota, Metazoa, Chordata, Actinopteri, Cypriniformes, Xenocyprididae. The transcript has 2 exons. The record is from RefSeq and is a predicted model, not a curated record.